GACGAACGCUGGCGGCGUGCUUAACACAUGCAAGUCGAACGGUAAGGCCCUGCUUUUGUGGUGUGCUCGAGUGGCGAACGGGUGAGUAACACGUGAGUAACCUGCCCUUGACUUUGGGAUAACUUCAGGAAACUGUGGCUAAUACCGGAUAGGAGCUCCUGCUGCAUGGUGGGUGUUGGAAAGUUUCGGCGGUUGGGGAUGGACUCGCGGCUUAUCAGCUUGUGGGUGGGGUAGUGGCUUACCAAGGCUUUGACGGGUAGCCGGCCUGAGAGGGUGACCGGCCACAUUGGGACUGAGAUACGGCCCAGACUCCUACGGGAGGCAGCAGUGGGGAAUAUUGCACAAUGGGCGGAAGCCUGAUGCAGCAACGCCGCGUGCGGGAUGACGGCCUUCGGGUUGUAAACCGCUUUCGCCUGUGACGAAGCGUGAGUGACGGUAAUGGGUAAAGAAGCACCGGCUAACUACGUG
Molecule: ribosomal RNA, 468 nt
Filed under: uncultured bacterium
Lineage: Bacteria
Description: partial 16S ribosomal RNA
Rfam family: Bacterial small subunit ribosomal RNA
Source: RNAcentral